GGAUUAGAUACCCUGGUAGUCCACGCCGUAAACGAUGAGAACUAGUCGUCGGGAGGGUUUGCCACUCGGUGACGCAGCUAACGCAUUAAGUUCUCCGCCUGGGGAGUACGCCGGCAACGGUAAAACUCAAAGUAAUUGACGGGGGCCCGCACAAGCGGUGGAGCAUGUGGUUUAAUUCGAUGCAACGCGAAGAACCUUACCUGGCCUUGACAUCCUUGGAACUUAGCAGAGAUGCUUCGGUGCCUUCGGGAACCGAGUGACAGGUGCUGCAUGGCUGUCGUCAGCUCGUGUCG
RNAcentral lists this ribosomal RNA (293 nucleotides) under uncultured bacterium. RNAcentral describes it as "partial 16S ribosomal RNA". It matches the Rfam family "Bacterial small subunit ribosomal RNA", at positions 775 to 1067 of the family's 1533-position model. The record is from RNAcentral.